This 254-nucleotide ribosomal RNA is filed under the name uncultured bacterium. Its description in RNAcentral is "partial 16S ribosomal RNA". It matches the Rfam family "Bacterial small subunit ribosomal RNA", at positions 524 to 776 of the family's 1533-position model. The record is from RNAcentral.
UACGAAGGGGGGCUAGCGUUGUUCGGAAUUACUGGGCGUAAAGCGCACGUAGGCGGAUUGUUAAGUUAGGGGUGAAAUCCCAGGGCUCAACCCUGGAACUGCCUUUAAUACUGGCAAUCUCGAGUCCGAGAGAGGUGAGUGGAAUUCCGAGUGUAGAGGUGAAAUUCGUAGAUAUUCGGAGGAACACCAGUGGCGAAGGCGGCUCACUGGCUCGGUACUGACGCUGAGGUGCGAAAGCGUGGGGAGCGAACAGG